This 253-nucleotide ribosomal RNA is filed under the name uncultured bacterium. RNAcentral's name for it is "partial 16S ribosomal RNA". It matches the Rfam family "Bacterial small subunit ribosomal RNA", at positions 524 to 776 of the family's 1533-position model. The record is from RNAcentral.
UACGUAGGUGGCGAGCGUUGUCCGGAAUUACUGGGCGUAAAGGGAGCGUAGGUUGCGAUUUAAGUUAGGUGUGAAAGCCCGUGGCUCAACUACGGAACUGCAUUUAAAACUGGAUUGCUAGAGUACAGGAGAGGUGAGCGGAAUUCCUAGUGUAGCGGUGGAAUGCGUAGAUAUUAGGAAGAACACCGGAGGCGAAGGCGGCUCACUGGACUGCAACUGACACUGAGGCUCGAAAGCGUGGGGAGCAAACAGG